AAAACUUUUAACAACGGAUCUCUUAGUUCUAGCAUCGAUAAAGAACGCAGUGAAAUGCGAUAAGUAAUAUAAAUUACAGAAUUUAGUAAACCAUCGAAUCUUUAAACGUAUAUUACGCCCGCUAGCACUCUAGCGGGCAUGCCUGUCCGAGCGUU
Molecule: ribosomal RNA, 155 nt
Filed under: Ophiocordyceps sinensis
Lineage: Eukaryota; Fungi; Ascomycota; Sordariomycetes; Hypocreales; Ophiocordycipitaceae
Description: 5.8S ribosomal RNA
Rfam family: 5.8S ribosomal RNA
About the family: 5.8S ribosomal RNA (5.8S rRNA) is a component of the large subunit of the eukaryotic ribosome. It is transcribed by RNA polymerase I as part of the 45S precursor that also contains 18S and 28S rRNA. Functionally, it is thought that 5.8S rRNA may be involved in ribosome translocation.
Source: RNAcentral